UAAGGAGAGAAAUUAUACACAGUUGGUGGGACAACCAAAACAACAGAUCAGAACUGGCAGAGGGCAGAAUCUAACGAAGCAGCGACACUGAGAAAAAAAAUAUGGUUCAAAAUUACCGGCAACCUCUAACAGAAAGAAGAGAUGGAAACCUUCGUUAAUUGUCUCAACUUAAAAAGAGCCAAAAAUGCAUUUGCACGCUGUCUUUGGAUAAUCCUCACAGAAUGUGAGGAGAAAAUUCAGGAACUACUGACAAAAUUCUUGUUCAUAUAAAAGGAGUUUGUUUACCAAAAAAACUCUGUUUAUUAUUUUCAGUCCAUGGUAGGAAGGGAUUCAAUGUCCCUCUGUUAUGCUAUAUGUCUUUCUGCCAAUCUAUUAUAAAUAUUUUUAUUUAAAACAAUACAUUCAUUUACAAUUAAUUACAUUCAAAUAUUUGAUUUAAAGGAGGCCUGACCUCAACAUGUGAAAUUAAUUUAACUAGUCUCACACAGUUUUCUUCCAACAUGACUGGAUUAAGAUGCUGACUAAAUCAGUUGGAGAACAAGAAAUGGAAUUACUGAGAGUGUCAUGGAGUCCUGCUGACCUAAUUUGGUGAAGAACUGAUGGAGGACACCCAUGAGGUCUCCCAGUGUGAGUCCAUAGUCGGCCACCACGCCCUCUAUCUGAUGGAACUCGGCCAGGUGGGUGGCGUCCAACGUCUCGUUCCUGAACACCCGGUCGAUGGAGAAAUACUUGACGGGGGUGAACUUCUCCUGGUGGUUGAGCAGACGGUUGGACAUGACCCAAGGAUGUGCAGUGUUGAAGUGCUCAAUCUCAACUAGUACUGCCAGGAGCACACCAUGGUGUGUAUUAAGAGGGGUUACACUGCUGAAAGGCAUGCUGGGUUCAGCUUGCUCUCUGUAGGUGGCUACAAAACAGCUGAAGAAUGACAGGCUGGAUAUUUUACAUUCUAGCAAAAUCUUGCAAGUCUGUCGUUUUGUUUUUGACUCCCAGAAACAGCCUGCUCCCAAAUACCUAGCUGUUAGCAGUGGCAAUUAAUUCAUCUAUAUUUAGCUAAGCUGGAGUGUGUA
Long non-coding RNA from Acanthopagrus latus (yellowfin seabream), 1067 nucleotides. RefSeq lists it as uncharacterized. The record is from RefSeq and is a predicted model, not a curated record. Lineage: Eukaryota; Metazoa; Chordata; Actinopteri; Spariformes; Sparidae. The transcript is spliced from 3 exons.